CAUACACACACACAUUACCAGUCUUCUCCAUCUCUACAUUUUAAGCUAAAAACCCUAAACACCAAACAAAUCCACUAUCCUCCUCCUCCUCUCAAGCCCAGCCGACAACCCUCCUCCCUCUCGGUUCCCCCUUCACACCUCGAUAGACAGCUGCCGGAGCCGGUUAACCGGCGCUCCGGUGUUGUGUAAUCGGACCAGACGACUCCCCCUGUUGAUCGUUGAUAAAAAAAACCAGCCACCACUCUUUGGUGGUGGCAUACGAUGGCUGAACGCGGAGAGAGAGGGGGAGAUCGAUGGGUUCCCGACGGCGGCAGAGAAGGAGCUCCGAUGAUCUGUACUCCGGGUGUUUGGGGGUAUGACGACAGGCGGCACUGACGCCGUCUGCUGCGGAGCGACGGUGGUGGGGGUGAACGACAAUGGUGGCGGUGAAGCUUCACCGCGACGGUCUGUGCAUCGGUCCGACCAUUUCACCGGUAAACCUGCUUCUUUUGCUUUGUUUCUGAAAAAGUCAUGUUGAUGGUGGCUGGUUAUUGUUGAAGAUGAUCAUUUGAUAUAUUUUUUUUGUUUGUUUCGGGAUAUAUUCUGGUCUCGUGGCUCCGGUUUUGGUUCAAGAUGUUUCACUCACGGGUUCGGGUUACGGUUAACGGGUUCAGACUUGAUGACGGCCCAGGUUUCGACUUCGAGUUCAAGUCAACACGGUCAAGCAGUCAACCAAGUCAAACCAAUCAACAUAUUGGGUUGACCAGUCAAAUCUGGUCAACAGAAGACUCGGCUCGGUUCAGUUUUGCGGGUCCGUUUUGGUUCGGGUCAAGGUUCGGUCAACAAAAUUCAACAACGGUCAACCUCAGUCGACUCGGUCAACACCCGAGUCAACUCGGGUCAACAGACAGUCAACUGAGGUCAAACUCAGUUAACGAAUGUCAUAGGUGCACGCUAGCUAAUUCACGUUCUUGGAACGACACUAAGGA
This is an RNA transcript of Helianthus annuus (common sunflower), 968 nucleotides long. RefSeq lists it as uncharacterized. Lineage: Eukaryota; Viridiplantae; Streptophyta; Magnoliopsida; Asterales; Asteraceae. The record is from RefSeq and is a predicted model, not a curated record. The transcript is spliced from 2 exons.